RNAcentral lists this antisense RNA (595 nucleotides) under Actinoplanes derwentensis. RNAcentral describes it as "Saccharopolyspora sRNA 389". It matches the Rfam family "Saccharopolyspora sRNA 389". The record is from Rfam by way of RNAcentral. Lineage: Bacteria; Bacillati; Actinomycetota; Actinomycetes; Micromonosporales; Micromonosporaceae.
AUCAGGGCGGUGCUGGUCUUGUGCAGGAAGUCUCGGCGGGCGUCACGGACCUUACGGUGCGCGACCGCGACCUUCGUCUUUGCUUUACGCCGGUUCGCGGAACCCUUCUUCGCGCGGGCGAGACGGCGCUGAUACCGGGCCAGGUUGCAGGUCUUACGUUCCAGGUGCCGAGGGUUGGCGAUUCGGUCGCCGUCGGAGGUCACGGCGAAGUCUUUGAUCCCGAGGUCGAUACCGAUCUCAUGCCCGGCCGGGUUGAAGGGGGCGGGCUGGUCGGUGUCGACGGCCAGGGUGGCAUACCAGCGGCCGUCCGUGUCGCGGGAGAUGAUCACCAUGGUCGGGUCCAGGGUGGCCAGGUCCACCCCCGGCCAGGACCACGCCAGCCGCAACGGCCCGGCGGUCUUGGCCAUGAACACCUGGCCGUCCUUGAUCCGGAACGCCGACCGGGUGUAGUGCGCCAACUGCUUGCCGUCGCGGGAUUUGAAGCGGGGGUAGCGGGCGCGUUUGGCGAAGAAGUUGCCGAACGCGGUGUGCUGGUGCCGCAGCGUCUGCUGCAACGGCACGCUGGACACCUCGGACAGGAACGCCAGUUCGCCGG